Molecule: long non-coding RNA, 677 nt
Organism: Protopterus annectens (West African lungfish)
Lineage: Eukaryota; Metazoa; Chordata; Ceratodontiformes; Protopteridae
Exons: 3
Source: RefSeq, a predicted model, not a curated record
AGCACUAAAAGAAAAGAGGCACCAAGCCGGAUGGAAAGGCAAGCAGUGGGAGUCUGACAGUCAUGGAGGAAAUGUGGAAGUGGGCUGGGAGGACAGGAUAACAGGAGCAAUGGCAAGGACGUUCAUCACAUAAAAGGGUAUCGACAACACAGACUGGCGUCAGUAUGAAAUGAAAAUGAAAAUCUGAAGAACCAAAGUGAGGAAUUUGUAAGGACAGGAAACCUGAUGGUGAAAGACAGUGAACCAGACCUGAGCAGGAUAUGUCCAGUCUGUGGACAGGAAGAGAUAUGAGCAUUACCUCAUGUCAAACAGGAAGAUGCAUCUAUUUGAAAUUACUCCUGACUGUUUACCUUCCACUGUCAGAAUCCAGGCAAACGCUGCUGGGCAUCAGUGAAUUAUGCAGAACAUCUUCAUUUACCAACCAACCUGUACUGCAAUACACUACCUGUUAAUUGCAACAUGUGAGUAAUAUUGCAUUCCAUUUAAGUCUUUCCUGUGUGUCUUCAAUAUGUUAAAUACUGAAAACUGUUUGCUGAAAUUACAGUGAAAUAACUAAUUAUCCAGGUCUGCUGUACAUUCUUUUUGGGAAGUUUCUCUCUUCCCAGCGAUGUGCGACUAUGUAGUUGUUAUAUAUUAUAUCUAUCUAUCUAUACAUACAAACAUGGACACAGACACAC